CUUGUCUUGCUCCCUUCACUUCAAAUCCAUCUUCGGUUGCCCGGUGGACUUCUGGCUCCAGCCAUACACAAAGAAGCAUCAACCUCACAUAGACCAUUUUACUAACUUCCAGAGGCUUCUGUCUUCUGAUUGAAUCCUGAAUGACACAGUCUAUUUUGACACAGUUAAGGAGUCAAACGGAUCCUCAUUCAUCUCUGUGCCAUCCCUUAGCCACUAAAUGGCAGAGAGGCCUCACCAUGGAUGCCCACUCAGCCCCCGAAGUGAGGUGUGAGUUUGCAAGGCUUAAGGGGAGCAGGAAACUCACUGGAGCCCGACAAACAGUGCUGCUCCUGACACUGUUUUUAAAAACCCAGGUUUUAAACACUUAGAUGACGGGAACCAGACCCCAUUCCACUUGUGUUUGCCUGACCAGUUCUGCCACUGUCACCUAGCAAAGCCUUCCUGCCCAAACCAAUGACGAGAAGAGGAAGGACGAGCUCACCUUCUGAAAUACUUCUAUGAGGUGGUAGCACCAAGAAUAUUUUUGGAAGCAUGUGAUGAGUUGUACAAUGAAGAGAGAUCCCUUUGUGGCGUGUCUCCAGGAUACGUUAUCUAUGAAGACAGGAAGUGAAUCAUUCAGAGGUGGCCUCAGGCCCACAAAUCCCUGUGUGCACUGGAAAGACACAUACGUGGGGUCGAGGAGCAGAAAGCAACGAAGUCCUUCUCGACGUGGACCUUGUGGAUGGCAUCACUCUCCAGGAGCAGAGGUCGAUGUGAGAAGCUGUUGGUUGAGGCCGCUGAGACGCACCAAAGCUGUGAAAUUUUCUGUUUUGCUUAUGGUAUGAUUAUCCUGCACCAAGCGAGCCUAGAGCACUGCAGCUGGGAGUUUCCUGUCUCAUUCACAGACCUGUGCCCAAUGCCAGGAAGUGCCCCUGGGACACAGUUGGGACUCGAUACAUACAUGAUUUGGUGGCAGCGUUGGGAUCCAAAGCAAACUUCUGUCAGCACUUGGGGACAAAGAGAAACAGAGACAUGGUGCCCUGCAAACAGGUUUGAGUUCACUGUCUUUUUUUGCCAUUUCCAAGGCCCGUUGGUGAGUUCCUGUUGGUCUGAGCUCUGGUCUUUUUGUGUUGGAGCUCUAGAUCUAAUCAGCUUUGCAGCCC
This is a long non-coding RNA of Mirounga angustirostris (Northern elephant seal), 1142 nucleotides long. RefSeq lists it as uncharacterized. Lineage: Eukaryota; Metazoa; Chordata; Mammalia; Carnivora; Phocidae. The transcript is spliced from 6 exons. The record is from RefSeq and is a predicted model, not a curated record.